This is a long non-coding RNA of Myxocyprinus asiaticus (Chinese sucker), 4088 nucleotides long. RefSeq lists it as uncharacterized. Lineage: Eukaryota; Metazoa; Chordata; Actinopteri; Cypriniformes; Catostomidae. The record is from RefSeq and is a predicted model, not a curated record. The transcript is spliced from 4 exons.
GAAUAAAAGACCAAAAAGUGUAUGUUACACUUAUAGUUGUAAACAAGUGUACAACAGUAAGAUUCAUUACAUUAACAUUGGGAAUGUAGACUUGCCACAGUAUCAUAAUUUUCACACCAGUGCUGUGUUCACGUUCAAACCAACUAACACCGGUAUUACCAGUGGUUGGACGAUAGGAGGUACUAUAGACUCAUUUUCGCAAUAGCCUACACAAUAAUGCAAGGGAGCUUGAUUUAAAAUUUGAACUUCAUUUUUUAUUGAUUUUAACAAAAAAUUUAAAUGAAACUGACAAAAAUUAAGUGCAAUUAAAAUUGUGUUCAGCUUUUAGAAAUAUGGCUUUUCAACAGUUGUGAAGGGCAACAUCUCUUUGAAAACUAACCUACUUCAUCCGAGCAUUCUCUACCGGUCACAAUAUUUUUCACAAUUUGUUCACAAUAUUUUUAUUAUAAAUAUAUAUUUAUAUAUAUAUAUAUGCAGUAUAUGAGGGAUCGGUGAAUAUUCUUGCUUUAGUGAUUUUGCAAAUAAAAUUUAAUUCAUUUAUUUAAAAAAUGAAAAACUCAAACCAAAAGACAUUUCUAAAUUCAAAUAGCACUUCAAACUAAACGAAAAAGCAAUCGAAAUGCCAUGGACAAUGUAAGUGAUGUUCCACAGACAACUUCCUGGAGAAGGAAAAAGACAGAAGCCGCCACUGCACAAGGCCAGAAAUUUAAACCGAGAAAGAAGAGCAAACCAUUCACCAUUUGGGCCUCCAGCCCAAAACAAAAGAAUAUGGGCACUCACAAUUCAACAGCAAAUGAUUUUGCAGCACAAAUGAGGGGAGAACUGCAGAUCUGGAAGAGGAAUGGGCCAAACCUACCCUCAAAUAGUAAUUUUUUUAUUAUUUUCUGUGAUGAUGUGUAUGUUUCUACUUAGUCUUAUGAGUGGGACCAACUGGCUUUCAGGUUGGAUGUGUGGCACUUUAUGCGGCGGAUUGCAUUAGGGGUCACCACAGACAGCCACCCGCUGUACGCCCUCUUCAUGGGACACCUCUCUGCUUGCAUCUUCAAGUGGGAUGCUGCAGAUGUGGAGAUGGUACAGGAGGCCAAGCGGUCCACAGGCUCAUGCAAGCCCACUGCUAAAGAGCUGGCAAGGCACUGCCAUCGCCACACUUGUUGGGCCCAGAAGACUAAGGAGCUCAUUGAACAGCUGCUCAAAGACUUCAUGGGGGCAACAGACACCAUGGGCUUCAGACUUAUGGACCAGGAGAGGAUGGAGGAGAUCUGGCGGACCCAGCAGUGCCACAUUGAGUGCAUCCAGGACCCUUCAGGUGUACAGCUGUACAGGAAGACAGGAAAGGUGACCAAGGGAGGGGUCAUUCUGCCCCUGUACCGCUGUGCAUGUGGCUCAACAUUGCUGGAGUCAUUCCACCUGCACCUGAAUUGCUUCGUGCAAGGAUUGUAUGACUCAUAAAUAAUGUGUGUUGUUUGUUUGUGGGUGCACUCAGUGUUUUUCCAAGGCACUCACUUCUCUCUUUGUGUUUAGGUACAAGUGCAAGUGCCCUGCACUUCCAAGUGUACCUGCUUGAAGAGCUUGUGCAGUGGAAUGAGGUGCGUGCGGUUGCUGCAGUUGAAGGUGGCAGUAGGGAGGAUAUCUGCUAUGGCGGCCUGCAGCAGUAUGUUAACAUAUUUGGCCAGCAGAUCCUGGGCCUCAAAUUGGCGGAAGAUUACACCAGCCCUGGCGAAUACACAGGCAAUGUGUUCAUGCACAUGUCUUAUGUAUAGCAGCUGUUACACCUGUAUUUCACCCGUGUGUUGUUAAAACAUCUGUUUUAUACACUGUAUUUCUACAGGCGAGCCCAUUGGUUUGGAGUACUUGUCCUCUCAAACAAAUAGAGCAAUUGAGGAAGACUUUGCUGCAGAUUGUGACACUCCAGAUGGGAUUCGGGAUGAAGACCUGGAGGGGGAUCUGGAGGGUGAUGAGGGGUUUGAAGAUUUGAGCUUUGAUGUCGAGCCACUUAAAAUCCUGGAGCUCAGCCUCAAUCCCCUGCAGCCCAUUCAGCAGCAGGCAGCGGCCCUACAACCUCCUGUGGCCCUCCUGGUCUGUCAUCAUCCCAGACAGAUCCAGCAGAGUCUUCCUUGAGUCAGCCUGAGCUCCUGAGAGAUGAGCCAGCCACUUUGCUGCAGAUCCUGACACUCCAGAUGGAAUUCUGGAUAAAGACCUGGAGGGGGAUGAGGGGUUUGAGGAUUUGACUCGAAAUCCUGGAGCUCAGCCUCAAUCCCCUGCAGCCCAUUCAGCUCCAGGUAGCAGCCCUACAGCCUCCUGGUCUGUCAUCAUCCAAGACAGAUCCAGCAGUCUUCCUUGAGUCAGCCUGAGCCCCUGAGAAAUGAGCCAGCCACCCAGAUCCAGCUUACCAACAGUUUGGUCGACCUCAGACAUCAGGGGUUCAUCACAGCAGAAGGUAGAGGAGAUUGUCACUAUGGGUCAACUUGUCAGAGCAUGACAAGGAUGCUCUCAUCUACCCCGCUCGCCACUGUGACAGACUGGUGAAGGGGCGCUUCAAAGUCAGUCACUCAGUGACAAAUGUCACCCCUGGCACUGACAGUUUGAAACGCUGCUUACUUGGUGAAGGCAGUGGACCCACCGUCUCGUUGUGGCCAUUUGCCUGGCUCUCUGCCACAUUUACCCUGCCAGUCAGACCAUCGCCGGAGUCAGGCUGAACAGUUGGGCUGCCAUCCUCCGGGACUACAGGAUGGUCAGGGAGGUAGUCCUGGAAUCAUGGCCCAGACAAGGUUGCAGCUGUUCAAACUAAACCAGCUUACACUCUCCCAUUGGCACAAUGCUCGGAAGAAGGCAUGAAAGGGAGGUCUUGCAGCAAAAUGUCAAGCCUUUAACCACUCCCUUGAUGGCAUCUGAACCCCUCCCACCUAUGCUGCCAAAACAUCCAGAACCCAUCCAGCAUGUGCACUCAUCCUACGAGUUCACAAUACCUGCGUAUGCAUCUGGACAAGCAGCACAGGGUGUUCGAGGCCAACAUUCUCCAGUGGGCUCUGCGGCAGCUGUUGCCAUGCCUGCUGCAGCCUUUGAAGCUGCAGCAGCACAGCCUCCACCAGUCCUACCAGCCCCAGUGCAAGGCACAGCAGCUGUUGCUGUACCUGCUGCUGCACCCCCUGGUGCAAAAGUGCCAAGGACCACAGCUUGGCGCUGGAGAAAGGCAGCAGAGGCAGCACAAGGCGUGUAUCCCAGAAAGAGGCAACAGGCAGAGCAGUACAUUUGCCAAAAGUGUGGCCAACCAAAGACUAAAGAGUUUGGCCACAGCCAGUUCCGUGGGGUCCACUUUUGUGAAAAGGCCUCUGGGAAGACAGUAGAGCAGUGGAUUGAAGAAAUGAGAAGGGGAGAUAACAGACUUGCAUCAGUCAACAGACAGGAUUGUGUAAAUGUGUACAUAUUUAAAUAAGACUUUUAAGGCUUUUUCUGUUGUGUUCUUAGGCUUUAAAUAUUAUAUAUAUGUAUGUAAGGCAUGGGGGUUUAAAAGUUACCAACAUUCCAUAAGUAUAACAACCACCAGAUUAUGACAAUGAUAAUGAAACAAAUAUUGCUCAUUGACAAUAACCUUUAACUUCUAGUAUGAUUGUUUUUUUUUCUCUUUUCACUUCAAAGUAUUUGAAUCUUGCAGGCAAUUUAACAGGCCUGCGACCUAAAGGUCUAGAGUCCUGAACAAUGUUUGGAGAUGAACUCAGUGUAUGGUUCACCUCUUGUGAAACUGUGUCCAUGUCACUAGGCUGUGUGACAUUUUGCAAUUCCGUUGCUUGAAUGGGAUUUGAAUUAGACUGUUCCAAUACAAUGUCCACAGCCAGCAAAGAUUCAAAGAAGUAUUCUAUAACAGGAUUGUGUGACAACGUAAGGUCCUUUCCAGCGUGGAGCAAGUUUGCAUCGAGAAUGUGCAGGAUCAGUCAACCACAUAGUAAGGGUUGUAUUAGGGCUGCACGAUUAUGACAAAAAUCAUAAUUGUUGAUUAUUCCCCUUGUAAUUGUAAUUGCGAUUAUUAAUUACGAUUAUUAGAAUUUACAUUGAAUGAUGUCUUGAAUUUCUUUAUACUAUUGUUUGAAGCA